UCUAAUGCCCGGGUGAAUACGCAUUUGAUUUUCACUUCUGCGUCUAGAACAUUCGUUUAAUGCCCGGAUGAAUAUGCAUGACAUUGUACGUAAAUAAACAAAUAAGUUUGUAUUGUUGGAUUAUACAUUGGAAAUAAGUGGAAUUAAACAUCUAAAAUGAGUUUGCAAGAAUUCUCGCAUGAUAUUGAUCACAUUACUACACAUUUGAGGAACACUUAACCCGACGACCCAGAAAUAAAGACAUGGAACGAACUAUACUAUAAAUUAUUAUCAGCUUAUUCAACAGUAUAUCAGGAAGACAACGGACGUUUAGGACAAAAUAUAUUAGAAUUACAACUUCGACUGACAACUCUUCAAAAGGAGAACAAUAACCA
This is a long non-coding RNA of Mercenaria mercenaria, 374 nucleotides long. RefSeq lists it as uncharacterized. NCBI's taxonomy places the organism in Eukaryota, Metazoa, Mollusca, Bivalvia, Venerida, Veneridae. The transcript has 2 exons. The record is from RefSeq and is a predicted model, not a curated record.